AUUGACCGCUGGCGGCAGGCCUAACACAUGCAAGUCGAGCGAGCGGCGGACGGGUGAGUAAUGUCUGGGAAACUGCCCGAUGGAGGGGGAUAACUACUGGAAACGGUAGCUAAUACCGCAUACCAUCAGAUGUGCCCAGAUGGGAUUAGCUAGUAGGUGGGGUAACGGCUUACCUAGGCGACGAUCCCUAGCUGGUCUGAGAGGAUGACCAGCCACACUGGAACUGAGACACGGUCCAGACUCCUACGGGAGGCAGCAGUGGGGAAUAUUGCACAAUGGGCGAAAGCCUGAUGCAGCCAUGCCGCGUGGGUGAAGAAGGCCUUCGGGUUGUAAAGCACUUUCAGCAGGGAGGCGUUACCCACAGAAGAAGCACCGGCUAACUCCGUGCCAGCAGCCGCGGUAAUUC
RNAcentral lists this ribosomal RNA (406 nucleotides) under uncultured bacterium. RNAcentral describes it as "partial 16S ribosomal RNA". It matches the Rfam family "Bacterial small subunit ribosomal RNA", at positions 30 to 526 of the family's 1533-position model. The record is from RNAcentral.